This 231-nucleotide non-coding RNA is filed under the name Massilia sp. Leaf139. Lineage: Bacteria; Pseudomonadati; Pseudomonadota; Betaproteobacteria; Burkholderiales; Oxalobacteraceae. The record is from RNAcentral. RNAcentral also lists the same sequence under 1 other name.
UAUAAUGCACCCCGUUUUGGUGCCCGCGUGCGCAAUCUGCGCGCGCAGUUAAACGGGAAACACGAAGCCACGACGCCCCCGGCGUCCAGCCAACGUGUGCUGCCCCCGCAACGGUAAAACAAGCGUCGCCUCCGGCGACCGGCCGCCUCGAACACCACCGUGCCCCGCAUGGGAAGGUGAGUGCGGCCUCCGCUUGUCAGCCCGGAUACCGGCCAGGACAGGUGGACGAAC